GUAGUGGUUUCUUUGCUCCUACACAGCACGCUUGAUGCGUCGCGGGACAGCCACCGCGUGGUGGUUGCUUGUCGCCGCCGCGCUCCUGGUCCUGGUUCUGCCGCUGCUGGCCUCGUCCGCGCGUCCUCCUCCAGUGCUGCAACGAGGUGGUGGCGACGCCGGGCUGGGUGGAGGGAGAGAGCUAGCGGCCAUGGGAGCUGCGAGGCGGUUCGGGCAGAGGACGCCGGUGAAUAAGCCUCCCUCGCCCAACCCCCACGACGCGUCGUCGAUGGCCGUGCCGCCGCCACCGUCGCUUACUAGCUAGGGCCAAGGUCAGGUGCGGGAGUGAAUGCUGAUACGUGUAUGCGAUGGUGCCUGUGAUCGCCUAGCUUGGAUAGGCAGACUAUGUUCUUCCCGAUAGCCGAUCUCCUGAUCGGUAUUAGAGAAGAAACAACUAGCAGCUGUGCACAAUAAAUACGGGUUUUGCUACUGAUAAAUUAUGGAACUGUAUGGAAACAUGUGGGGAUAUACACCAAGUGAUGACCUUUUUUUUC
Molecule: long non-coding RNA, 533 nt
Organism: Triticum dicoccoides
Lineage: Eukaryota; Viridiplantae; Streptophyta; Magnoliopsida; Poales; Poaceae
Exons: 2
Source: RefSeq, a predicted model, not a curated record